RNAcentral lists this ribosomal RNA (301 nucleotides) under uncultured bacterium. RNAcentral's name for it is "partial 16S ribosomal RNA". It matches the Rfam family "Bacterial small subunit ribosomal RNA", at positions 509 to 807 of the family's 1533-position model. The record is from RNAcentral.
CAGUCGCCACGGUAAAACGUAGGUGGCAAGCGUUGUCCGGAAUUAUUGGGCGUAAAGGGCUCGCAGGCGGUUUCUUAAGUCUGAUGUGAAAGCCCCCGGCUCAACCGGGGAGGGUCGUUGGAAACUGGGAAACUUGAGUGCAGAAGAGGAGAGUGGAAUUCCACGUGUAGCGGUGAAAUGCGUAGAGAUGUGGAGGAACACCAGUGGCGAAGGCGACUCUCUGGUCUGUAACUGACGCUGAGGAGCGAAAGCGUGGGGAGCGAACAGGAUUAGAUACCCGCGUAGUCCCUGUCUCUUAUAC